ACCGGGUGACCGGAUGCCGAUCUCGAAAACCUGUCCCAGUUCGGACCGGAGUCUGCAACCCGACUCCACGAAGUUGGAUUCGCUAGUAAUCGCGCAUCAGCCAUGGCGCGGUGAAUACGUUCCCGGGCCUUGUACACACCGCCCGUCAAGCCAUGGGAGCCGGGGGCGCCUGAAGUCCGGGACCGCGAGGACCGGCCUAAGGCGAAACUGGUGACUGGGGCUAAGUCGUAACAAGGUAUC
RNAcentral lists this ribosomal RNA (240 nucleotides) under uncultured bacterium. RNAcentral describes it as "partial 16S ribosomal RNA". It matches the Rfam family "Bacterial small subunit ribosomal RNA", at positions 1252 to 1500 of the family's 1533-position model. The record is from RNAcentral.